RNAcentral lists this long non-coding RNA (300 nucleotides) under Theobroma cacao (cacao). RNAcentral describes it as "long non-coding RNA (TCAC_LNC006052)". Lineage: Eukaryota; Viridiplantae; Streptophyta; Magnoliopsida; Malvales; Malvaceae. The record is from RNAcentral.
CGAGUCCGCCAAGGCUGUUAAAAAGUCAUGUACGCAUAAAUAAUGUUUUUAUUUUGAAAACAUAGCCGUUCCUUGACGUUGGUUGAGUUCACCCUCACGUGGUGGUUUGGCGUGAAGUGAACUCUAAAGUUUUAACCUCAGGAGUUAUCCAACCGCGCCUCUCAUACUGAGGUAUGAAUAUAAUAGGGUUACCGUGCCCCUCUAAUAGGCUGGUCCAUGGAACCCGUCCACUGCAGUGACUAAUUUAUAACCCACCAAUUCAAUAAAAUUCAACAGCAUGACAUGGUAAUUAUUUUAUUU